This 218-nucleotide ribosomal RNA is filed under the name uncultured bacterium. RNAcentral describes it as "partial 16S ribosomal RNA". It matches the Rfam family "Bacterial small subunit ribosomal RNA", at positions 1285 to 1500 of the family's 1533-position model. The record is from RNAcentral.
GUCCCAGUUCGGAUUGUGGUCUGCAACCCGACUACAUGAGGCCGGAAUCGCUAGUAAUCGCGGAUCAGAAUGCCGCGGUGAAUACGUUCCCGGGUCUUGUACACACCGCCCGUCACACCAUGGGAGUCGGAAAUGCCCGAAGCCGGUGACCCAACCCGAAAGGGAGGGAGCCGUCGAAGGCAGGUCGGAUGACUGGGGUGAAGUCGUAACAAGGUAGC